Molecule: ribosomal RNA, 468 nt
Filed under: uncultured bacterium
Lineage: Bacteria
Description: partial 16S ribosomal RNA
Rfam family: Bacterial small subunit ribosomal RNA
Source: RNAcentral
GACGAACGCUGGCGGCGUGCUUAACACAUGCAAGUCGAACGGAAAGGCCCUGCUUUUGUGGGGUGCUCGAGUGGCGAACGGGUGAGUAACACGUGAGUAACCUGCCCUUGACUUUGGGAUAACUUCAGGAAACUGGGGCUAAUACCGGAUAGGAGCUCCUGCUGCAUGGUGGGGGUUGGAAAGUUUCGGCGGUUGGGGAUGGACUCGCGGCUUAUCAGCUUGUUGGUGGGGGAGUGGCUUACCAAGGCUUUGACGGGUAGCCGGCCUGAGAGGGUGACCGGCCACAAUAGGACUGAGAUACGGCCCAGACUCCUACAGGAGGCAGAAGGGGGGAGUAUUGUACAGUGGGCGGGAGCCGGAUGCAGCAACGCCGCGUGCGGAAUGACGGCCUUCGGGUUGUGAAAAGCUUUCGCCUGAGACGAAGCGUGAGUGACGGUAAUGGGUAAAGAAGCACCGGCUAACUACGUG